RNAcentral lists this ribosomal RNA (253 nucleotides) under uncultured bacterium. RNAcentral's name for it is "partial 16S ribosomal RNA". It matches the Rfam family "Bacterial small subunit ribosomal RNA", at positions 524 to 776 of the family's 1533-position model. The record is from RNAcentral.
UACGGAGGUGGCAAGCGUUGCUCGGAUUUACUGGGUGUAAAGGGCACGUAGGCGGUCCAAUAAGCCCCGCCUGAAAUACUCUGGCUCAACCAGAGUAGGUGGCGGGGGACUGCUGGACUUGAGGAUGAGAGAGGCGAGCGGAAUUCCCGGUGUAAGGGUGAAAUCUGUAGAGAUCGGGAGGAACACCAGUGGCGAAAGCGGCUCGCUGGCUCAUUUCUGACGCUGAGGUGCGAAAGCUAGGGGAGCAAACAGG